UGAGUCCUUUAUUGAAGGGGCAAUGUAAGCAUGGAAUCUCCAUGUCUGCCAUACAGACAAACAUGAAGUUCAAAUUCCAACAACAUGUGACCUUAGGCAACCCCUCUUCUUCAGUUUUUCCAUCUGUAAAGUGGAGAAAAUGCUUUCCUUACAGGGUUGUGAGAGGAUUAAAUAAGGCAAGAAUGAACAUAGUGCCUGAUUCAGCACAGGCAUUCGAUAAGUAUUAGUUCUUCCCUUUCCCCUAGAUGAAAAUAAGCCAAGGGAACAUUCUGUUCUGCAAACCAGUUCCCACCCUGCUCUUUCUAAACUUCAUUUUCUUUCAAUUUCCAGGAGGGGACCAAGUCUCUGUGGCAGUUUCCUGAUCUUCUGGAUAUGCUGCCAUGCUGUCCCAAGGCUGGUGGUGUCCCCUGACUUGUUCCUCUCCUGACUUUCUCAGCCUGGAGACUGAAAGCUCUCUUUGACUGUUGGCCCUCCCAGGCAGAGUCCACCGGCUGUUAGGGUGAAAUGGGGCUGAUGCUUCCUGGAAUCCACCAGAAGUAUGCAAAUUGCACCAUCUCUUUCAGCUGCCUGCGCCUGCAUUCCAUCGAAGAUUCCUGUAAGAAGAAACCAUCCUGUUCCUCUUUGCUCGACUCCCAGUGGCAACAGCUGGAGAGGAGGCAAGGAACCCUGGAACUGCCACCUGAUAGGCUGUCUUCCUAGCUCCUCUCGCACUGGCAAUCCUUUCAUCACACAGGCCUUGUUUUGAAGGGACCUAUCCCACCCACAGUGGUUUCUCACCUCUAGGAGGCCAAAAAGCUGUAGUCAAUUGCUGUGGCAUCAGGAACUCCAGUUCUUCUCAGAGGUGUUGUGAAGAGCUUCCCUUCCAACAGUACAUGGCCUAAAUACCAGGGAGGAAGUAUCUGACUCUUCCCAUUUUCAGUGAAACAGAACAACUGUUGUGGAUGCAGUGGCUUUGCAAGGAGAGUGGCAUUGUCUCUUGGUGAAUGUAGUUGUUCAGGGCAUGGGGAGGAGACAGGUUUAGUUUUGAU
This 1028-nucleotide long non-coding RNA is filed under the name Macaca nemestrina (pig-tailed macaque). RNAcentral's name for it is "lncRNA (ENSMNEG00000045988.1)". Lineage: Eukaryota; Metazoa; Chordata; Mammalia; Primates; Cercopithecidae. The record is from RNAcentral.